This 254-nucleotide ribosomal RNA is filed under the name uncultured bacterium. RNAcentral describes it as "partial 16S ribosomal RNA". It matches the Rfam family "Bacterial small subunit ribosomal RNA", at positions 524 to 776 of the family's 1533-position model. The record is from RNAcentral.
CACGUAGGCGCCAAGCGUUGUCCGGAUUUAUUGGGCGUAAAGAGCUCGUAGGCGGUUCAGUAAGUCGGGUGUGAAAACUUUGGGCUUAACCCAAAGCGUGCAUCUGAUACUGCUGUGACUUGAGUUCGGUAGGGGAGUGGGGAAUUCCUAGUGUAGCGGUGAAAUGCGCAGAUAUUAGGAGGAACACCGGUGGCGAAGGCGCCACUCUGGGCCGAAACUGACGCUGAGGAGCGAAAGCAUGGGUAGCAAACAGG